AACUGAAUCGAAGUCGGACGCUUAACCCGCCGAGCCACCCAGGCGCCUCUCACAUCAGAGCUUUUGUCGCCAGCCCCCAGAGUAGGGCCGAGGAGAGGAGAGGGAAAGUACAUCUCCUGUAAGAUUAUCUCCUAAAGCUGCCGGCCGGCCAGCUGCCAUUUAUUUGAUUUCCUGCGUCUUUAACUGUGGAAUUCACGAGAAAUUCUCAUUUGCUUUCCUCCAGUAUAUUUUUCUUCCAGUACAGCUCCCAUUUUACCGCCUUAACCGGUUACAUUAUCUAGCUCCCCCCACCCUGAGAAUGUCCCACACGAGGUAAUAAUACAAGGUGCCCCACAUGAUGCCAGCAGGUAGGACAUCUACCUCCCGAGGGAGGUGUGUGGGCAGAACUUGCGACAGCUCACGGGCUUAUUGCUGUUGUUAUUGUUGCAAACGUGGAGGAGGUCCGAGCAGGAGGAAGUACUCUGGGGAGAUGUAGCAACUUUCUCUCCCUCUCUUCCUCAGCCUGGAAAACCCAGGCAGGUGGUGGGGACAGCAGCCGAGCACAGACCACAUUCCUGCCUCAGAUAAGGUCUGUGGAGGUGAAUUCCCAGGCUGCAGAGGUGACUCCUGAGUCAUCGCAGCUGAGAGCCAAGCGACUUGCCCCAAGCCAUUGCUCAACGCCGCUGGGGACAGUGUCUCAUGCCCACCGCGUGUCAUCCACCGUGGCAGGCUGCAGUUUCAAUUUGAUGCACGAGGGCAAACGGGAUCCCCGGUGCCGAGAGCCGAGUCUGGCACGCGUGUUCGGAAUGGCUGACUUUGAAGAGACUGAGUGAGGGAUGCUUUGAAGGCCAUUCCGCAGUAGGAAGGAGAAAGUGCUCUGGGGGCCACCGAGCCGUAGAGAGUUCGGACGGCAGGAAUGGGGAGCAGCACCCGGGGCAGGAUCCUGGAGCCCCAGCAACAGAGCCCAGCUCCAGCAGGUACCCAACCCUUCCAGGGAAAUUAAGACGGAUUCUUCAGCCAGGCAUGAGAAGCAGAUGUACCUGGUGAAGUGUUUCCUAGCUCUGUAGCAUCCCUUCGGUCUAGUUUAAACAAUAAAGAACAAAUAAGCCCAAGAAAGUGACUUGGCUGGGAGGUCCAUACUAGCUGCCUUAACCCUCUACGGGAGCUUUAGGACCUACUAUUCAUUGGUGAGGACAGAUGAUUCACCUCUACCAACGACAUGCAGGUGUGUCCCGGGGGCAGACUCCAUCUCUGAAGACAGAAAGAGCCAAGCACCCCGCAUAUGGAAAAAGCAGGCCAGGAAGCCAGUUGCCAGCCUAACCCAGAGGCGGUACUAGAAGGGCCCCGACACCCCCGAUGACCCAAUCCUCCCAGGCCACCGGGCUAAUUAUAAGAAAGCCUAGCAGAGAGUCCGUUGCGAAAGGAGGUUCUCCAUGAAUGGCCUGAGUAAUGGGUAAAUGGAGCCUGAUAGAGAAACAGAGAUAGUGUGCUCUUCUGACUCCUCAGUACCAUUUGAAGAUGAACUCCAAGGACGGGAAGGCCACUGGACCUAUGAGAUCACAGACCUUGAACGCAGAAAGGUGCACAGAUGGAAUCUCAGAGCAGCCUCCAAGAUGCUCACUGAAGGAGAGCCGAGUUGGAGGAGAGAUGAACUGAGGAACCAUCGGGAAACAAAGAAAGGUGGCUGAGAAUCCCCAGGGCCAUGAAAAUGUGUUUGAGAAGCCCGACCAUCAUCUCCAUCCUAAAUCACGCUCUGAAAUUCCAUGGUUCCUUGAAUACAAAAGUGGUAAUGCAACCCAAACCAACUGCCAGGAACGACAAUGGAGGCCAGAUGAGCCAGCCUGAGAAUGCCAAUGCAGAGAACAUAUGAUGGACCCGAAAAAGCAAAGGCAGUGUUCUCCGGAAGCUGAGAAUGUGUAAAUCAAGGGAUGGGGGAGACACCAAUUCAAACAGAACAGUAUGUAAUUGGUAGGGAUGGGUAUUUCAUCUUGACCUCUCUUCUAGCUUUUGAUCUCUGUACUUUACUCUCCCUGUGCUGUUAAAGAAACCAACAAAUCUCAUGGGUUUGAAGGUGAGCCAUUGACAAGGUGGUAAAGGGUAGAGGGCCACAGGGUUAUAAAUGUGGGAGCAAUGACACCCCCAAAUAGGAUAAUUGUAAAAAAGCAUGAUUUGACUCAAAUUGGGGAAGCGACCAUCAACAUAAAAGAGGCAUCUUCUAAAGAGAGAAAAGUCAGGAAAGAGAACUUUGAGAACAUGGAACAAAUACUGUAGAUCUUUUCCUAUGGAGAAAGAUGGGAGGCACUAAGGGAGUAUCAUAGGACACAAGAAUUCUGUGAUAUCUUCAUAGGACCCAUGGCAAUGGCCAUCUGGCUGGUUGAGUGCAAGCAAGCGUGUGUGUGUGUGUGUGUGUGUGUGUUUUACUGAGUGGAAUGACCUCUCCAUUAACAAAGAUCUCCCUACCUCCCCACAAAACUCAUUCCAUCUUCAGUUGAGUCUGAUUUGUAGAAAGUUGUUUCUUCUAUGGGCUAAAAGAGAGAUCUUGAUAGCAUCUAGUCACUUGGCCUUGUUUUAUUUCCAGAAGCUGGAACAGUGAGUCUCUCUGACGUUGAAGAUGGCUCGUAUGCAUCUCUGGAAUCUCUUUUCUUCAUUCAUAAUGUCCAUUUCCCUUUGACAGUUUGAUAUCCAAAUCCUCCACCAUCAGAAGGUCCAUUGACCCAAGCCUAGGACUUCUGGAGCAGUCCUAGGUUCCCUUAGCUCUGUCUUCAAUGUCCGUCCCAGCUUCUCUGAUGGGAUUGCACUUCCUCGAUUGGCUCUUUCAUCACGUAAGAUAUGUAUACGUGUGUACACGCGCAGGCUUCAGCCUGCAGAUCACGUGGGCAAGGCCCACGUGCCAGUAUGCAAUAGAGUCGCUCUAGAGUCGACCUGCCGUCUCCACCAUUUCCAGACUGAGAAUGUCAGUUGCUCCCAGCUUUCUUUUUGAGAAGUUCGUAACGCUCGCAGCUCUGGCACCAUCAGUCAGUUGCUGCCAGUUGCAUUAAGGGCUUACUCUUGAACUUCCGCUAGCCAGUGUGGCUGCGUAACCUCACGCAACAGCCACAUCAGACAUCCGAUGGGCCAUUAGGCUCGGGGAAGAAAAUUCAGCAUGCGUUGCUAAAGGCGAAUUUGUCCCCACACAAGUAUCGCUUAAUGUGUCGAGCAGCUUCAUAGAGUUGGAAGGCAAUGGAUCUGGAAUCACGAGGAACUGAGUUCAGACUGUAAUUCUGCUGGCUUACUCUCUAGUGAACUUGGCUUUGGGAGGAUUCCAUUCGGUAAGCAUGUCAAAAUGUCUGGUAGAGAUGGUGCCACCUGGCCGUUGCCCGGUAAUUGUUACUAUGCUUAGUCCUUUUCAGGGGAUCCGGUUCUACAUUAUAUUUCUUGAGAUUCCUUGAGAAACCUCAGAGCAAAAUGUUUUCACGUCUUCGUCGGAAAUAGAGUUUCCUAGCGGAGAAGUACAUCCUGUUAUCCAGGACACCUGCCUGUCUACGCAUUUCCCUAAGCAGUGUAAUUACAACCACUGACGUGGUUUUUAUUCUUUGGGCAUACACUCGGUGUGGCUCCCCCCACUGCUCACAUCACCAGCUCCUGCACUUUGUGACUCUGAAUUAACUGCAGUGGAAUAAACAGAAGGUCGUGUGUCAUGUGGCCGAGGCUGAGGGAGCCUUCCUAAUGGGGGACUGAGCUGGGACUACUGAAUUCUCUAAGUUCUUGCAAACUGAAAAAAAAAAAAAAAAAAAAGCAAAUGCCACUUUUCGGUGAGGUGGAAAAUCUGGAGGAAGACCAAAAAAAUAAAUAAACAAAUAAGCGAAAUAGAUUUCAGUUUUUAUCCCAUACUUUCGUGGUCCAGCGGGAUUUAUCGCUCCAUAUAUCUGGUGUCUCACUUCAAGCGUCGUGGUACCUUACAAGCCCUCCGUUUGCCGUGGCUGAAGGUUCAGCCUCGCCACAAUCGAGAUGAAACUAGCCAAAAAUAAGGUAGGGGAUCCAACAUCAAGGAAAACUGAACGGAUACCCAAAAUGAUCCGAGACUCGCCGAAAGUAGGAAAAGAGCACUGAAUUCACCUCCUGUAUGGUGGCAGGCUUCAGUCCAGCCCCCCUCUGCCAAAUCCAAUAUUACCCACAAUUUGGAAUGACCCAGGCACCGUUCCAGAUGAACACAGGCAAAUGCUUCUAGUAGCGACCACGCUUCCCGUGCUCAGAAUCCGUCUCCUUGUAAAUGCCCCAUGUCGGUUCUCAUUUUGCUGCGUGAACCGUGUGGCAUAAAUUUGCUCCCUUUUCUGCAUGGCUGUUUGUCCCGUCAUGUGAAGCUGCUUUUAACACCUUGGUUUUGGCUUUCCUGAUGAAACGGGUGUGACUCUUUCCACUGCUCCUGAUGUGGUAGAUGAUUACCGGCCGUGUUCCUGGAACCCCAUCAGGAGACAGGACAGCAAGGCGGGAGCCGCGUGGACUUUCACCAAGGGACCGGCUCUUGGUGGCCUGCCAAGUUCCACCUGCUUUCACUCUUGGCCUCCCUGCCCUGCUCUGGAAUUGGUUUCUGCACUUUAUAGCUUUACGAGGACGUUAGUUCAAGCGCAUUCUCUGGCUCCGUCAUCUCCCGCUUCCCUCUGUUCCAUUUUGCCACCGGGAUCCUACUGGGACUUCCCGUAAUUGAUCCACUCGGACCCGACCCUGCCUACAACCUAGUGGGUUUUAAAUCACCGUAAGUUUUCAUUUGUUGUAAAUGCUUUGUUUUAGUUGUCCUACCCUCCUUGGCCUAUGAGCCAGAUAGACUUCCUCAUAACAGCAGGAAAGCAAAAUAAAUACCCCCUAUGUUGGUGAACCCAAGAUGCCCUUGAUUAUAAGAUAUACAAAUAUUUUAUGUAUCACACACACACACACACACACACACUCAAGGGGUGGUCAAGUAAACCAUGGCACCAUGCAGUCUAAUCACUUAGAAUUUUUAAAUAUUUUUUUAAUGUCUAUUUAUUUUUGAGAGAGACAGUGCAAACAGGG
Long non-coding RNA from Lynx canadensis (Canada lynx), 5007 nucleotides. RefSeq lists it as uncharacterized. The transcript is spliced from 6 exons. NCBI's taxonomy places the organism in Eukaryota, Metazoa, Chordata, Mammalia, Carnivora, Felidae. The record is from RefSeq and is a predicted model, not a curated record.